Molecule: long non-coding RNA, 547 nt
Filed under: Homo sapiens (human)
Lineage: Eukaryota; Metazoa; Chordata; Mammalia; Primates; Hominidae
Description: HSALNT0317680
Source: RNAcentral
UUGAGAGAGGUCAGCGUGAGCCCCUUGCCUCACACCGGCCCCUCCCACGCUGAGAGAGGUCAGUGUGAGCCCUUGCCUCACACCGGCCCCUCCCACGCGGACAGAGGUCAGCGUGAGCCCCUUGCCUCACACCGGCCCCUCCCACGCUGAGAGAGGUCAGUGUGAGCCCUUGCCUCACCCCGGCCCCUCCCACGUGGACAGAGGUCAGCGUGAGCCCCUUGUCUCACACCGGCCCCUCCCACGCUGAGAGAGGUCAGCCCGAGCCCCUUGCCUCACACCGGCCCCUCCCACGCUGAGAGAGGUCAGCGUGAGCCCCUUGUCUCACACCGGCCCCUCCCACGCUGAGAGAGGUCAGCCCGAGCCCCUUGCCUCACACCGGCCCCUCCCACGCUGAGAGAGGUCGGUGUGAGCCCUUGCCUCACACCGGCCCCUCCCACGCGGACAGAGGUCAGCGUGAGCCCCUUGCCUCACCCCGGCCCCUCCCACGCUGAGAGAGGUCAGUGUGAGCCCUUGCCUCACACCGGCCCCUCCCACGCGGACAGAGGUC